GCAACAUCGUCAUAUGAUAUACAAGUAGUUUUUAACUUAACGUCAGAAGAUCUACAGUUAGACAAUAAGAAAAGCACCGAUUACAAGAAAUUAACGUAUGAAGUAGAAUCUCAAAUGCUUAAAGAAUUAGCCUAUGCUAAUAUUAAGGUUAUACAGCUUAAAGUAAUUGAUUUAAGGAAGGGCAGUUUGAUAGCAGACAUUAACAUUUUCAUUGAAGAGAACACCAAACUAGAAAUAGAAUUAACUACGUCAUUAAAAAAACUGGAGAAUAGGGAAGUUACUUUAAAUGAUAAUCCAGUAUCGAUACGAAAUAUAGGUUUGAAAGACAAU
Molecule: long non-coding RNA, 330 nt
Organism: Physella acuta
Lineage: Eukaryota; Metazoa; Mollusca; Gastropoda; Physidae
Source: RefSeq, a predicted model, not a curated record